RNAcentral lists this small RNA (2850 nucleotides) under Rattus norvegicus (Norway rat). Its description in RNAcentral is "uncharacterized LOC108351497". The record is from RNAcentral. Lineage: Eukaryota; Metazoa; Chordata; Mammalia; Rodentia; Muridae.
UUUCCUGUAGUAAAGAAAAGUAAACGGGUAGGUUAAUUGUGAAUAUAAAGUAUUUAAGGGAUUUUUAUAAAUGUAUUCAUAAAAUAAUAUAAAGAUGUGCCUUUCCACAAAAUGUGAUCCUUUUCAGGUUUAUUAUGAAAGGUCAAAUUGUGUUCCAGGUCAGUGAAACCCUUCAGGAUAUAGUACUCAGGAAAUAUUUUAUGACUUGACUUGGCAAUGAAAAAGGGCUGAUUUGGAGAAAUGGGAAUGGCCAACAUAAGCACAGAAGCUGUACCCCAGAAAAAAGGAUUAGAAGGACAAAGAUCAGAUAAAUGAGCAGACAGGGUCCUGUUGUGGGUUCCAGCAGAGGGACCUAGAGGUGACACUGAAUACAUGAUUUCUGUCUGAGUCUUCAAGGUCUGUAGAAAUGUUAGAUGCAUCCGGUGGCUCAUUUGGGAAACAGCCCUGAGGAGAAAACUCUCAGUUUUCAAAAAAAAAAUAGAAAGAGAAAAAGAAGAGAAAGAAGAAGAGAGAUGACAAAAAGGCCGAAGUGUAAGAAAAAGGACCCAGGGACAGGUGCCAGCUCGGCCGGCCGGAGGUUGGCUGGAGGGGAAGGUUAGAGAUUUCCUUUCCCACCACCCAGACAGUGCCACUGGCAAGGACAUUGGGAUCUUGGAUCGAUCCCAAACGCCCCGGAAAGUAAGUACUCCUUUUCAGAGCCAUGAGAGAGGGAAGCAGGAAGCCAAAGCCAGCCCCUGGGGAGUGAAGGAGGAGAUGCUGGUGCCCCAGCAAAGCCACACACCUUCUCUGAACUUGGUGAGCGCAGAAAUGAGAGUUGGAAUUUUACCUACCACCCACCGAUUCAAGAAGACAACUUGAAGUACCCACUGCCUCCCUCCCCCCGCCCUUUUGAGGGUGUUUUGAGUUGCCAGGGAUAACCUUGGAUUUAGCCUCGUCCCUCAGCCUCCAGAGUUGUGGGACUGCAGUCACGUGCCCCCAAGCCUAUUUUAUAGGACAGUGGCAAAACUUUCGAUAGGCAAACUUUGUAUGGGCUGAGCUGCAGCUGCACCCCACUUUCUUGUUUAUUUUUUUUUUUUUUGUUUUUAGUGAUGUUUUAUUGUUUUUUCUUUUUCCUCCCAGACUGGGUCGCUUUCGCCCUAGCUAACCUUGAAUUCAAGUCAAUCCUCCAGCGUCAGCCUCUCAAGUGCUUGCCCGCAGGUGUGUACCACUCAUGCCCAUUCCAUAAAUGGAACGUUCAGUGACUAUGAGGCACUGGUCACUGCUACCGCUUUAUUCUGCUCAGCCAGCCUCAGCAGCAUCCUGGAGAGACCAGCUCUGCUACUCCGCCUGGAGCCCACCCUCCUGACCUCGAACUUCAGCUACAGAGUGAGACCACACCCUUCCCGUCCACAGGGCAGUGAUGUAAAUGUGGUGUGGAAGAGACUAGGAGGACCUAGCCCAGAGCCUCCUGCAGGGGGAAGUGGCCAUCAAUGGUGGCCUUUAUGGUGGCUGGCCUCGGAUGGGACUGGGAAGGAGUCAGAGCUUGGGAACAGAGGGAGCUAUUGUAUGAGGGAGCGGGGUGCUCCCUGAAGAGAGCAGCAAGAGUCCUCACCCGCCAGACCCUUGCUGGCCCUACUUCAUUAUUUGUAGUGGCAUUCGCCCAUCAGCCUGGGAGUCCGUGGAGGGAACUCUACCAGCACAGCAGCCGCCACAUUUUCCCAUACCCUGGAUUUGCCCGCUUCCAUCCAAGAUUAACCACCUUCCACUGUGCGAACAUUGUCUCAGACAGCAUUCGCGAUGUGGCCUCAGAGCAGAUAAAGGGCUGUUCAUUGUCACUGCAGAAGGAAAUGGGGGAAGGUCCCUCCAGCGUGCCCUGCUAGAGAUGACAACUGGGUGCGCCUCCUCAUUCCGUGACCUCUUGACCUUAGCCACCCGUGGGAGAAUUUACACCAUGGAAAGAGGCCAAUGCCGUAGCCCAGGACAAGCUGCAGAAGCAUUUAUCAGCACAAUCACUGUCCCCAAGGAAUUGGAAAUGGUGACUUGGUCCUGAACACCCCACUUAGGGCAUCAGAUUGGUUUCCUGUGCAGGAGGCCAGGUGUGAGAGAAGGGUUAGGGGGAUAGCACCCUCUACCCUAACAAGCCGAGGGUCCCUACUCCCAAGCCUCAUUUCCUGCCAGCCAGCUGGACCCCGGAUGUUUCUGAGAGCUGACCUUGACCCUCCCUGCUGAUGAAGGCUGGAGCUAUAGUGGAAGGAAAUUCGACACGCCAGGAAUGGCUCCCUCCAAAGGACACAGGCUCAAGAAGCCUUCUGCCCAACCCGGCUGAGGGCAGAACUGGAUCAGAACUGAAUCCUUGAGAUGACUUCUCUCACAGGGGCAGAGACAACUUUGAGUCACUCUGGCUGUCAGACCCUUAUUAAUAUCUGCUAUGUUUGCAGAUUCCAUCUUCGUAAGUCACUUUGUGAUAAAGUGGCUUCCUGCGGCCGGCUCAUCUGGACGCAGUAAUGUUUUCAUUGAUCUGCUGAUGCGUGCAUCCUGCUGCACCGGAUGGAAGGCUGCCUCUAACAGCCGGAUUCUCGGGUAUCAAAUUCCAGGAACAGCUCCAAGGCCAGGCACCUCUGACACUCCCAUUGUCAGUGAGCUCAGCCGUGGGCUGCAGAGUGCUUCCUGACGGCAGAUGCAAAGCGUCCAUCCAGCUGCCUCUUUCUGCUACACAGCAUACCUUCCCUGCCGAGAUGGACUGUCCACUCAACAUAUGAGGAAGAGAAGCUCUUUCCCGGCAAGUCGCUUCUAUCAAGAAUUAUAUCGGGGGCUGGAGAGAUGGCUCAGAGGUUAAGAGCACUGUCUGCUCUUCCAGAGGUCCUGAGUUCA